UUCAAUUUCUUCUCUCUCUCAGUCCUUUCUCUCAUUCUCUCUCUCUUCCUUUCUCACUUUCUCUCUCACGUUUCUUCUCUUCCCUUUCCUUUUUCUUUCUUUCUUCUUUACAAACCGGAUGGUACUCUAUGAUACUCUUGGAGCGUUUCUGGUAUGUCCACGGAAACUUACGGAGCUUCGAAACUACUGAAGAUGUUGUAGUUAUUGUAUGUCACUCUUCAUGUUAGGGUUUGUGGUGAAUUUUGUGCAGGGAGGAUUUGGAGUAUAUAAAGGGUUUUGGUUUUGUGGCUAGGGUUCAAUAACGGGAAAAUUACGGUUUUAAUUUUAUAGACUUAUCAUCGGUGUUCGGUCGAAGAGGUUGCCGGUUUGAACGUUGUUGCUGUUUUAUUGUUAUAGUGUCCACAAAAUCAAUGUUUUGUCGUUGUUGGUCGUAAACAAGCAUCUUUGAAAUUGCCUUUAAUGGUGGGAACAUAUUCGGUGUCGGCUUUGCUUCGUCAAGUGCAUGUUGGGAAUUUUCGU
This is a long non-coding RNA of Vicia villosa (hairy vetch), 519 nucleotides long. RefSeq lists it as uncharacterized. NCBI's taxonomy places the organism in Eukaryota, Viridiplantae, Streptophyta, Magnoliopsida, Fabales, Fabaceae. The transcript is spliced from 4 exons. The record is from RefSeq and is a predicted model, not a curated record.